GGCUUCAUAGCUCAGUUGGCAGAGCAUAACGCUAGUAACGUGGAGGUCAUGGGUUCAAAUCCCCGUUGAAGCCU
Desmophyllum pertusum is the source of this 74-nucleotide non-coding RNA. The record is from the annotation of a GenBank genome assembly. Lineage: Eukaryota; Metazoa; Cnidaria; Anthozoa; Scleractinia; Caryophylliidae.